RNAcentral lists this transfer RNA (65 nucleotides) under Acilius sulcatus. RNAcentral describes it as "tRNA-Trp". Lineage: Eukaryota; Metazoa; Arthropoda; Insecta; Coleoptera; Dytiscidae. The record is from RNAcentral.
AAGGAUUUAAGUUAAAAAAACUAACAACCUUCAAAGUUGUAAAUAAAGGCAUUCUUUAAGCCUUA